This 253-nucleotide ribosomal RNA is filed under the name uncultured bacterium. RNAcentral's name for it is "partial 16S ribosomal RNA". It matches the Rfam family "Bacterial small subunit ribosomal RNA", at positions 524 to 776 of the family's 1533-position model. The record is from RNAcentral.
UACGUAGGGGGCGAGCGUUGUCCGGAAUCAUUGGGCGUAAAGAGCGUGUAGGCGGUUCGGUAAGUCUGCCGUGAAAACCUGGGGCUCAACCCUGGGCGUGCGGUGGAAACUGUCGAGCUAGAGGAUGGUAGAGGGGAGUGGAAUUCCCGGUGUAGCGGUGAAAUGCGCAGAUAUCAGGAAGAACACCAAUGGCGAAAGCAGCUCUCUGGGACGGUACUGACGCUGAGACGCGAAAGCGUGGGGAGCGAACAGG